AUACGGAGGGUGCAAGCGUUAAUCGGAAUUACUGGGCGUAAAGCGUACGUAGGCGGUUCGUUAAGUUAGAUGUGAAAGCCCCGGGCUUAACCUGGGAACUGCAUUUAAAACUGGCGGACUAGAGUUAAGUAGAGGGGAGUGGAAUUUCAGGUGUAGCGGUGAAAUGCGUAGAGAUCUGAAGGAACACCAGUGGCGAAGGCGACUCCCUGGACUUGAACUGACGCUGAGGUACGAAAGCGUGGGUAGCAAACGGGAUUAGAAACCCCAGUAGUCC
This 274-nucleotide ribosomal RNA is filed under the name uncultured bacterium. RNAcentral describes it as "partial 16S ribosomal RNA". It matches the Rfam family "Bacterial small subunit ribosomal RNA", at positions 523 to 796 of the family's 1533-position model. The record is from RNAcentral.